GAUGAACGCUGGCGGCGUGCCUAAUACAUGCAAGUCGAGCGAACAGACGAGGAGCUUGCUCCUCUGACGUUAGCGGCGGACGGGUGAGUAACACGUGGAUAACCUACCUAUAAGACUGGGAUAACUUCGGGAAACCGGAGCUAAUACCGGAUAAUAUAUUGAACCGCAUGGUUCAAUAGUGAAAGACGGUUUUGCUGUCACUUAUAGAUGGAUCCGCGCCGCAUUAGCUAGUUGGUAAGGUAACGGCUUACCAAGGCAACGAUGCGUAGCCGACCUGAGAGGGGGGGCAGGCAAAAAGGGAAGUGAAAACGGGGCAGACCCCCAAGGGGGGGAGCAGUGGGGAAUACUUGCCAAAGGGGGAAAACCUGGAAGGGGCAAGCCGGGGGGGGGAAGAAAGGCUUUGGAAUGUAAAAACCUUUUUAUGGGGAGAAAAAAAAGUUUGAAGAAACUAUGCCCGUUUGGAGGGAACCAAAUAAAAAGCCCACGCCAAACUAGGG
Molecule: ribosomal RNA, 497 nt
Filed under: uncultured bacterium
Lineage: Bacteria
Description: partial 16S ribosomal RNA
Rfam family: Bacterial small subunit ribosomal RNA
Source: RNAcentral